RNAcentral lists this ribosomal RNA (547 nucleotides) under uncultured bacterium. RNAcentral's name for it is "bacterial SSU rRNA". It matches the Rfam family "Bacterial small subunit ribosomal RNA", at positions 358 to 916 of the family's 1533-position model. The record is from RNAcentral.
GGAAUAUUGGGCAAUGGAGGAAACUCUGACCCAGCGACGCCGCGUGCGGGAUGAAGGCCUUCGGGUUGUAAACCGCUUUCAGCAGGGAAGAAGCGAAAGUGACGGUACUUGCAGAAGAAGCACCGGCUAACUAUGUGCCAGCAGCCGCGGUAAUACAUAGGGUGCAAGCGUUGUCCGGAAUUAUUGGGCGUAAAGAGCUCGUAGGUGGUUCGUCACGUCGGAUGUGAAACUCUGGGGCUUAACCCCAGACCCGCAUUCGAUACGGGCGAGCUUGAGUAUGGUAGGGGAGUCUGGAAUUCCUGGUGUAGCGGUGGAAUGCGCAGAUAUCAGGAGGAACACCAAUGGCGAAGGCAGGACUCUGGGCCAUUACUGACACUGAGGAGCGAAAGCGUGGGGAGCGAACAGGAUUAGAUACCCUGGUAGUCCACGCCGUAAACGGUGGGCACUAGUUGUGGGGACCUUCCACGGUCUCUGCGACGCAGCUAACGCAUUAAGUGCCCCGCCUGGGGAGUACGAUCGCAAGAUUAAAACUCAAAUGAAUUGACGG